ACAGCAGUUUCAUGCUUUUAGGUCCAGAAAAGCGUGUGCUGGUGUGAGCGGCUCCUUUUAAGUCACGUUGUGCUACCAGGUAACUGCCGGCCGAGUACCUGCAGGACGUGGGCCUAGAUCCCUUUAUUUUAGGAAGUCAGGCAGUGGUUCCUGUCACCGAAACAGUUAAUUGAAAAGCACUAACUCUCCACUGGAACGUGUGUGUGUGUGUGUGUGUUUUUGUUUUUUAGAGCCAAGAAGAUUUGCUUUAGUUUUUUUAAAGCAGAAACCACCACAAAGUUGGCUGUGGUUUCAGCUGCGCUUGUUCGAGAUUUGUAUUGCUGGCUACCAAUCCUAAAAGAGUUAACCUAGCGAGCGUGACUCAGAAACAGAGAAGGAGAUGCGAGGCUGAGAGGCUCGGAUGGCAGCACAGAAGCAGAGGUGAGGAACAUAAUAAUUACCAAAAAAAGGUGCAGAGUCCAGGAGCGACGCUCCCCUCGGUGUGCCUGGCCCUGGCACUGCUGGCACGGGCUCCCUGGAAGGCUGCAGUUCCGCUGUUAUAACACAGGGAGCAGGCUGGAGAAUUUAGAGCUGCGUCACAGAGCUCAGCGAGAGAGCGAGAGAGCAAGCUCCGUCGAUAGGUCUACCAGCAACAGCCCUGCUGCAGCAAGAGGGGAGAGAGGCAGCCAGAGAGGGAGAAAGGGCUCAAGAAAGAGAAGUAAGACCAACACCAGGGACUGGGCUCCUGUCACCAUCCGGAGUCAUUUAGAAAGCAUAUUUGGGCUCGGUUGGCGUAGGAGGCUUCGCCCGUUGACGAUGCUGGAGACCCGGCGCGCUUAAUCCCACGGGGAGGGAGAGUGGGCAGACACCGAAAGGGUUAACGGAAAGGAAAUUUCUGGAACCUUCUAUUCUGCGGCGCUACACAGCAAGCGGAGGGCUGAAGACUGCGCAGAUGGUGCACGGGCAGAGCUCUUCGGUCCGGUUCGUCUUUCCCACUGACCAACAAUGAAGAUGGGCAACUGUGCCUGGAAGUUCUGAGGACACAACCAGCUUUGAGCUUGGUCCUUCUGGCCGAGGAAGUCACCCGGUUAUGCAGUGGAGUGGUAACUUUGCUUUCUCAUAUAGCAGGGAACAUUAUUCCACAGCCUUUCAUCAUACCAAGGCUUAAACAAGUUUAAGCAUUUAAUCUAUAUUACUCACUCACUGACAUCGCAAGCGUCAGGUCUGGUUGUUUAGCAACAACCACUGGGUUUAGAACCAGCUCAAACGAACUGCGUGUGUCUCGGUUACUUCGGCAGGAGCCUGUCCUCUGAACGGCAGGCGGAGAGGGGAGAGAGGCCGUGUUGACACAGGUACACCCACCCCGACUGAAUUUUGGCUGUUAUAAAGGCCGUACGCAUUGCAGUUUUAUCCCCGUUUCUUUGCGCAGUAACCCAGAGGGGAGGAUACCAUUUCCAACGGCAGUGCGGUGGCAGGAACAGGGAGGGAAGACAAAAACAGACAGUAGGUGCCACUCCCCGGAUUUUUCCUCUUUCCCAUCUCUACCUUCCUUGCCUCCCCUCCUUUCCUGCCAGAUUCCGUGGGGAGUUUCAGGCUCUUGCUGCAGUCGUCACAACCCCUACUGACUCAGAGCCCUCGCUGGCUGUAGCUGGCUCCCUUGGAGCAUCCUCGCCUCCUGCAGCGCCAGUUCCGCAGAGCAGGGGAACAACGGGAAUAGCAGCAACAGCGGUGGUCCCUGCAGCAAGACAGACAGGCAGAAAGACACACUUCUAUAGGAACAGCACAAGGCAGCUGCCGAGGUCAGCGUGCACAGCCACAAGCUGGCCUAAGAAACGAUGCUUGCUUUCCCGGGAGACCAGUGGGUUAAGUGGCUCUGAGUGGACAGCCCUUCGCAUUUUUCCCCAUCACGGCUGUGUGGUGGAGGCCCCGUUAGUUUGCAAAGGUAGCGCUGCUUCAUGGCAAUUCUCAGCCCUUCAGACAGAGGUGCAAGUGGCAGCCAGUAUACUAAGGCACAUGCAUAAUUUGAGUAUCAGUGUUCGGUGUAGGGAUGUGUUUAUUUUUGCUCCUUUCGCUACUGUCCUUUGGCCACGGUGAUAGUUUAAUUGUGACUAUGUGCAGGCAGGAAAAGGAGACUGAGAGACGAGAGGUAUUUCAAUGUUAAACUUCAGCUGUAAAUGUCCUUACUUGGGAAUUGAGGUUACUGUCAGCAGGUAAAUCUGGGGGACUUGCAAGAAACAAGGCUAAGAAGGGGACAUGGCAUAUUUCUGUAGGACAGAAGCAAUUUUGUGCAUGUGAUACUGUAUGUGAGGUCUACGUGGCAAACUGUUCCAUAAUGUUUUUCUGUGUAUUGCCUCAAAAGGACUUGGAAAAGCUGUGAUUUCUUAGUCCCUCUGACACUCGUGUGUGUGAUAUUGUGUAAGCUGAUUCAUUGCUCAGUAUUUUGGUUCCCUUCCUUUGUAAAGUAGGGUUCAUUGCAUCUCUCAGCCUUGGUGCGGCAUUGUGACGCAGUGAUCGUUAGUGCAUUGGGUCUGCUGGCAAAAUACGUGCAAUUUUCUUGGGAGUUCAGACUGUUCAAGGACGCAAAAUUCGGUAAAGUUAAGAAUUGCAAAUGUUCAGGCCAUCAAUUUAAAAGCAGUAAAGCCUUACCAGCUUAUUCUUCUGUGAUACUGAAAGAAAGCUGUCGGAACGAUGAGACAGCCAUGAUCUCUUUCUGCACUUGUUUUGCCGAUGGUCAUGUUACAUCUGUGACGCAGUCCGUUUUUGCUGCUCGUUCCUGUCUCUGCUCUGUGGAGUUGAGCUGAUCGGGGCACAGGCAAGAAGACGGUUAGCAACAUUAAUUUGAUACCAAUGUUAAAGUUUGCAGCUGCACCUGGCGUGGCAGGGAUAUCGGCAUCCACCUAUUUUACCACCCACAAACGGUGAAGGAAUUCAGAUGAACGCGACAGCACCCCUAGCCAUUUUGUUGCACGCAGAGUAGACUCUAAGCCUGCAGUGCUGCUGCUGCUGCUGCUGUUAAUUUCCAUGUCAUACAAAUACAGCGUUGGGCUCUGUGUCAGGAGCUUUACUGAUGCUGUGAAAAGCUUGCAGUCUAUGAGGAAACGUUUUUCUUUUCUUAUUUGGGAAAAUUCGUUAGAACGUCCAGAUGCCAAGUAUUGCAUCCUCACUCCUCUUACAAAUCACUUCCAGACCUACUCAGAAAAUUCACUGCUGCCUUGCGUAUUUUCUAAAACUUGUUCACGGCAGCUUAAUAAGGGUGUGGCUGGGGGGAGGUUGAGCUUUAAGCUGCGUCAGUUAAAUAUCUGUAUUACUGAUGCUAACGGAGAGCUGUAUGCAAGAGAUACCUGAACUGCCAAUACGCUCCAUAUACCUGCGUAUAGAUCCAGGUAGUCCCAAGCCUCGGUGACAAAGAUGCCCUUGUUAUGGCACAAGAAGGGAAUACUCUGCCCUGUUCUCACACACUCAAAAGUUUUGGUGCAAAGAUGGCAGUAGAAAUGGCCAACAUGGGAAUCUCACAAAAUGGUUUCAACAGAGCUGAGAUGCACGCGCCGUUUAUACUGGCACGGCUCCGAGAGGGACAGGCUCGCUGCAAGGUCACUCCCCUGCCUCCUCGUCACUGACCACUUGGUCUUGCAACAGUGGCAGUACCGGAGCCCUGAACCUGGAAGGGAGGCUUGAAAAUUAAUGCUGCUGUGGUAGGGGGUACGCUGAGUCUGAAAGUAUAGGCCCAAAAAAAUCCUGGAUCUCAGAAGCAUUUAAAGUCCAGAGCUGUAAUUCGUUUCUUGAGCAAACUACAAAAACUUGCUUAAAAAGACUUCCUCUGGCCUGCUGGGAAUUGGAAGUAGCAUAUUUGUAAGGACUACGCAUCAACUCUCACCAUGUUCCAGACGAGAAAAAAAAAUGUCUCUGCAUAUAUCUGAAUUUCUGUUCCUGCAGCCUUUAUCAGGUGGACCCCGCAGGCUGCUCUAAGUUCACCAGUGCCUGUCUCUCCUGUGCUUUCAGUUCCAGGCACCACAGCUCCACGGCUGCCUUUCCCCCUGCCAGAUUUCCCAUUUUCUCAGGGGUUUCCAUUUGUCCAUGUCACUAGCAUUUUCAGUGGACGUAGGACAAAUGGAAAUCUGGAGCAAAACAACUUUGUGCCACCUUUGCAGUCACAAAGUUCAGUUCAGGGGCAUGGUCCCAGGGUGCUGUUAGACGGAGAGGAACACGGGGCUCCAGCAGAGCCAGCACACGCCGAGCAGGGGUGCAGGUGGACCCUUCCCGCUGGCAGUUUCGCUGCCCCCCCCCCCCAGCAAUCCUGCCCCGACCAUGCUUAGAGCCCGCUCCAGCCUUCGGCAGCGUUAUUCUCUAGUUUCCAAAGGAAAAGAACCUGGCUGCUAAUCCUGAUGCCAGUGACGACUCUUCGCCUACAGGGAGGCAUAUGUGAUAGCUUGUCUGCUAAAAACUGAGCCAACACAGUGUGAUUCAGACCCUCAGCUUUCCAAGGAAGAGAGCUAUUUCUGAGUUAAGCACAUCUCUUCAGCUCCCCACACAAACAAUCUUUAUCCAGUGCAAAUGGUACGUAGUACGUGUCCACCAGCAGCCAGGGGUUUUGCAUUUGGCCGUACACCUCAACUGCUUCCUAGGCAUCGAGGAGGGCUCCCAAACACAGCGAAGUUUCUGGUAUAGGAAGGACAAUGGGAAUCAUGGGAACGGGCACAAACCAAACAGCUCAGGUGCUGGGGGAGUCUGCCAGGAGCUGGGUCCAUGCUUUUCUCCAGCUUUUUUUUUUGCCAGGGCGUUCUGCUGCGGGUACUGAGCAUGCUUUCAAAUAUCAGGUUUAAGGGCAGGUUAUACUUCGGCAAACAUCGGGCAGCAUCCGCGUCCUUAUGCUCCUCACUGGCACAGGACAUUAUUUUCUCUUUUCAAUGACAAAGAAAAACGUGACUUCCCUUGACAUUACCUAGAGCAGCUGGAACUGCAGUGGUGGGGAAACACCAUGUUCCUGAACUGACUCUACAGAUCGCAACAAUAACCUCCCUGUGACUUCGUCCGAGACCUGCAAUCAAUACUUGAUAUUCUGAGGUGAUGCUUAUAUACAGAAGUUAGGAGCAGAAAAUUACUUUUCUGGUUUCAGCUGCCUUGGUGGGGAAUAUUUUAAUGUAGUUAGUGCUGUAAUGCGCUGUUCAAGCAAGCUGUGUAUAGCCAAAGCUGAUGAGUUUUCAGUGCUGCGCUUCGCUACCUCUCUCCUGUGACCCAGGUCAUGAACGUGCCAGGCUUUUCUUCCCUUGCGUGGGUUUGCCCAAUUUCACCUCAUCGUUCCUUGUGAGAUCUGAAAUCCUCAACAGCAUUUAGUGGUUCAGUACUUCCUGCGCCCUCCAAACAGGCUGUGGCUUUGCCUAGGAACUCUCAUGAAAGCAAAGGUGGAAAAAAACUGCAUGUCUCCAGGCAAGCCAAAGCCAUUUCAGCUUUGCAGACAGGAAUCGGCUUAGAAAAUGCAGCCCGAAUGGCUUGUGCUCCUAGAAUGGUCACCGAGCUAGGACUGUUCCCUUCAGCUAGCUUAUGGGAAAGUAAUUCAAAAGGAAGUACUACCUUUCACUUAACAGUCUGAAACAAAGUUCUGGGAU
This is a long non-coding RNA of Oxyura jamaicensis (ruddy duck), 5582 nucleotides long. RefSeq lists it as uncharacterized. The record is from RefSeq and is a predicted model, not a curated record. The transcript has 2 exons. NCBI's taxonomy places the organism in Eukaryota, Metazoa, Chordata, Aves, Anseriformes, Anatidae.